AUGGAGAUUUUCAACCUCGCCCUUCUGGCGAAGCAAGCAUGGAGGUUACUUCAGGACCCGGACUCGCUCAGUGCGCGCAUACUAAAAUCCGUGUAUUACCCUUCCUCUGAUAUUUUGAUGGCCGGGGUAGGAUCACACCCGUCCACGAUAUGGCGCUCCAUAUGCGAGGGAAGGGACAUUCUCCGGACUGGUCUAAUUAAGCGGAUAGGUGAUGGUGAGGACACUGACAUAUGGAACGAAAAUUGGCUCCCACGGAACUACAACAUGCGGCCAUUGAGCACUGUUUCAGAUAACCCACCUACACGUGUAUCAGAAUUAAUAGUGCAUGCGGCCAGAACAUGGGAUGAAUCAUGUUUACAAGACCACUUCCUUCCCAUGGAUGCGGAUAUAAUCCGACAGAUUCCGAUUAGCUACAAGCAACAGAGAGAUUUCUAUGCAUGGCAGUACGAGCCGAAUGGAGUCUUUUCAGUACGGUCCUGCUACCGCCUAGUUUUAGAGACAAAACUCAGAAGAGAAAGUUGGCUCAAUGGGACGUCGGGCAACUCAGACACGGAGCAUCAGGAACGACAAUGGAAGGCACUUUGGGGGGUGAAAGUCCCGGCCAAGCUGCGGCUAUUCGCUUGGCGCCUAGCGCGGGCUUCACUGCCGACGGGUCAGGAGCGGCUUCGACGACAUAUGGCAGCUGAGGCGACGUGCCCAAUCUGUCAAGCGGCUGUGGAUUCAUGGCGACAUGCUUUACUGGACUGUAAUAUGUCCAAGAGUGUAUGGUCCUUGCGCGACGAUGAUUCUCUUCUUCCAAUCUAUGGCGACGAGACUACAGAUCCAAGGUUGUGGCUGUUUGGUUUGUGCAGUACUCUCAGCAGGGACAAAUUCAUCUCGGUUGUUGUUACGUUAUGGACUAUUUGGUGGGCUAGGAGAAAGGCCAUCCAUGAGCAUGAGAUGCAGAGUCCGCUGUCCACACACAUGUUUAUUGAGAAGUACUUGCAGGAGCUCAACGACCUCCAAGCAAAGACCCAAAGUACUAGAACUGCAAGAGCUCUGAAGGCGGGGCAUUUUUUGGCAUGGAUUCCACCGGCUGGGGGAGAGGUCAAACUGAAUGUUGACGGGGCUGUAGCAAAAUCAUCAAAUAUAGGUGCGGUUGGAGUUGUAUGCGGGAGUGAGACUGGUCUUUUCAUGAGUGCAUCGGUGGAAGUUUUCCAUGAAAUAACGGAACCAGCAACAUUGGAGGCAUAUGCAUGCAGGGAGGCCCUCGCACUAGCCGAGGACUUGGUCGUUCAUAAAGUGCGAAUUGCAUCGGACUGUUUGAGAGUCAUGAAUGACCUUAAGAGCCCGGGCUAUCUGGGUGAGUAUUGCAUGAUCUUGCAGGAGAUCAAUGAGAGAAAGCAAAAGUUUCAGAGUUGUGAGCUCGUCCAUGAACAACGUGCAAGCAAUGGUGAGGCACAUAGAUUAGCUAGAAUGGCCACUACCCUAGAUAUUGGCCGACAUGUGUGGCUCAUCGAUCCUCCGGAUCAUCUUUGUAUCCCCUAA
This 1527-nucleotide ribosomal RNA is filed under the name Triticum aestivum (bread wheat). Its description in RNAcentral is "partial small subunit ribosomal RNA". Lineage: Eukaryota; Viridiplantae; Streptophyta; Magnoliopsida; Poales; Poaceae. The record is from RNAcentral.